CCGGCCCGGACACUGGGAAGAUUGACAGAUUGAGAGCUUUCUUGAUUCGGUGAAUGGUGGAGCAUAGCCGUUCUUAGUUGGUGGAGCGAUUUGUCUGGUUAAUUCCGAUAGCGAACGAGAGUCCAGCCUAUUAAAUACGUCCGUGGUUCUCUGCAGCUUGCACCCUUCUUUGAUGGGCAAGCGGCUCCUCGUCGCACGAAGCAGAGCAGUAACAGGCCUGUGAGGCCCUUAGGUGUCCGG
This 240-nucleotide ribosomal RNA is filed under the name Ixodes scapularis (black-legged tick). RNAcentral's name for it is "eukaryotic small subunit ribosomal RNA". It matches the Rfam family "Eukaryotic small subunit ribosomal RNA", at positions 1219 to 1484 of the family's 1831-position model. The record is from RNAcentral. Lineage: Eukaryota; Metazoa; Arthropoda; Arachnida; Ixodida; Ixodidae.